RNAcentral lists this long non-coding RNA (1209 nucleotides) under Homo sapiens (human). RNAcentral's name for it is "HSALNT0221969". The record is from RNAcentral. Lineage: Eukaryota; Metazoa; Chordata; Mammalia; Primates; Hominidae.
UCUGAACAACACACACACCUCAGACUGCAUGCCCAACCUCCAGUUUCUGUGAGUCAGGAAUUCAGAAGUGGCUUCUGGCUCAUGGACCGUCCUGAGGUCGUCGUUAAAAUGUCAGCUGUGGCUGCAGUCUCCUGAAGCUUGCCUGGGCUGGAGGGGCUGCUUCCAAGAUGGCUCACUCACAUGGCUGCGGGCAGGAGGCCUCAGUUUCUCACCACAUGGACCUCUUGGUAGAACUACGGCUGAAUGCUCAGUGUAUCGGUGAUGAUUCAUCGUUGAUUGAAAGAAAGUAACUCACUUAGGCUGUAACUUCGCUUCCUUCACCCAGAGGGGCAUGGAAAGGAUGCGGGGGGCGGAGGUUGUCAGGUAUGUGUCCAUGGAGUAGGAAGGCCAUGGAACCUAGCCUAUUUGUCUCCCUUGAAAACCUUGACACUCCUUAAUUAAAGAGGUUGGAUUUGGAGAUGGAUACAUAUGGAAAUGAAGCAUAUAUGUGUCUUAUUUUGUUAGGUUGGAAAAUGCCACGGGAAAGCUGUAGAUCUGCAUACAGUUAUCUCGAUGAUCAAGAGCAGCCAGCAGUCAGAGGUGACUGGCCCUCUGUGGUUGGUGUUAGCAAGGAGGAUAAAGACACUGUCUGCUUUUAGAAAAAGCAUUUAGGUGAAUCUCCUGGCUGAGUGCUCCUGUGGGGCUUGGAUAAUGCUGAUGAAUAUGUGCAUUUUGAAAUGAUCAGGAGUCAGCCUGAUAAUCCAUCACAUGUAAAGAUGCCUUUGGGAGCAACUAACCCUUUCUUUGCUCCUGUGAAGUUCAAACCCUUAUGAGAAGGGGCUCCUAGGCAUCAUUACCACAGGGUUUAUCAUCAUUAUCAGCCUUCAUGGUUGCCAGCAUAGGUUCCUGAAAAGCCUGCUUACGUAUGGUACUUAGAUAAAGCUGUGUCUAGGACAAGCCUCACUGCUGCCCUCAAUAGUCUUGUGAUCCAACCCAUUCCAGUCUAUGCACUAGGAGACUGGGUGAGGUGGUAGAACAAAGCAUGGCCUCUGGAAUCUGGAACCUAGGUCUGGAUCCUGACUCUGCCACUUAGUAGCUGUCUAGUCUUAAGCAAAUUACUCACCUUCUCUGAGUCUCCGAUUUUCAUCUAUAAAAAGGAUUGCUAAUAAUACCUCUUUCUCAGUGUUGUUGUGAAAUAUAAUGUGAUAGCCACUAUUAAAUAUUUUUAUA